GAUGAACGCUGGCGGCGUGCCUAAUACAUGCAAGUCGAGCGAACAGACGAGGAGCUUGCUCCUCUGACGUUAGCGGCGGACGGGUGAGUAACACGUGGAUAACCUACCUAUAAGACUGGGAUAACUUCGGGAAACCGGAGCUAAUACCGGAUAAUAUAUUGAACCGCAUGGUUCAAUAGUGAAAGACGGUUUUGCUGUCACUUAUAGAUGGAUCCGCGCCGCAUUAGCUAGUCGGUAAGGUAACGGCUUACCAAGGCAACGAUGCGUAGCCGUCCUGUGAGGGUGAUCCGCCACACUCUAACUGAGACACGGUCGUAUCUCCUACGGGCGGCUGCAUUAGGGCAUCUUCCGCACUGGGCGCAAGCCUGACGGUGCCUCGCCGCGCGAGUGUUGAUGGCCUUCGGAUCCUAAAUCUCUGUCUUUAGGGAAGAUCAAAUGUGUAAGUUUCUCUUCGCGGCUUGACCUUGCCUUAUCUGAUAGCCACUGCUCACUCCCUC
RNAcentral lists this ribosomal RNA (497 nucleotides) under uncultured bacterium. Its description in RNAcentral is "partial 16S ribosomal RNA". It matches the Rfam family "Bacterial small subunit ribosomal RNA", at positions 28 to 507 of the family's 1533-position model. The record is from RNAcentral.